Molecule: long non-coding RNA, 417 nt
Organism: Mauremys reevesii (Reeves's turtle)
Lineage: Eukaryota; Metazoa; Chordata; Testudines; Geoemydidae
Exons: 3
Source: RefSeq, a predicted model, not a curated record
CCCAAAACAUAAAUUAACCUGCCUAUUUCUGCGGAAAGGCUAUGAAAAGCUGGGGAUUCUUGACCCUGAUGGAGUUCCGGAGUCGAUGAGAGCACAUUCGGGGAUCGAUAUAGCCCCAUUAGAUCGAUCGCUACCUGCCAAUCCAGCAGGUAGUCUGGACGUAUCCUGACAGUAGCAGGCGGAGUCGACAGGAGAGUGUCAGCCAUCGACUUACCAUAGUGAAGACACCACGAAUAGCCCUGUGAUAUAACCGGUCUGAAGCACCUGAGCUGUCUGGAGGAUAACUGGCCUGGAAGAAGUUGCACUCAUUCUAAUCCUCAAGACCUCUGCGGCAAUCUCUGCCAAUGUUCACUUUCUCUCUCAUUUCACAUGUGCUUCCUUUCUGUUUUUUUACCUUUUCCACUGAAAUAAACUUUU